This 253-nucleotide ribosomal RNA is filed under the name uncultured bacterium. Its description in RNAcentral is "partial 16S ribosomal RNA". It matches the Rfam family "Bacterial small subunit ribosomal RNA", at positions 524 to 776 of the family's 1533-position model. The record is from RNAcentral.
UACGGAGGGUGCGAGCGUUGUCCGGAAUCACUGGGCGUAAAGGGCGCGUAGGCGGCGCGAGCAGUCAACGGUGAAAGCCCGGGGCUCAACCCCGGGUCGGCCGUCGAUACUCUCGUGCUGGAGCACUGUAGAGGCAGGUGGAAUUCCGGGUGUAGCGGUGGAAUGCGUAGAGAUCCGGAAGAACACCGGUGGCGAAGGCGGCCUGCUGGGCAGUAGCUGACGCUGAGGCGCGACAGCGUGGGGAGCAAACAGG